CAAUAGCGUAUAUUAAAGUUGUUGCAGUUAAAAAGCUCGUAGUUGGACCUUGGACCUGGACAGGCGGUCCGCCUCAAGGCGAGUACUGUCUUGCUGGGUCUUUCCUCUUGGUGAUCUGUUGUUUCGGCAGCAGGGAACCAGGACCUUUACUUUGAAAAAAUUAGAGUGUUCAAAGCAGGCUCGACGCCGGAAUAUAUUAGCAUGGAAUAAUAAAAUAGGACGUGCGGUUCUAUUUUGUUGGUUUUUGGAAUCGCCGUAAUGAUUAAUAGGGACAGUCGGGGGCAUUAGUACUCACAUGCUAGAGGUGAAAUUCUUGGAUUUUGUGAAGACUAACUUCUGCGAAAGCAUUUGCCAAGGAUGUUUUCAUUAA
RNAcentral lists this ribosomal RNA (370 nucleotides) under uncultured eukaryote. RNAcentral describes it as "partial 18S ribosomal RNA". It matches the Rfam family "Eukaryotic small subunit ribosomal RNA", at positions 592 to 976 of the family's 1831-position model. The record is from RNAcentral.